GGCUGUCAAUAGACAUAGAUGGUCUUCAGCUGAUCCUUCAGUUCGGGAGGAAUGGCACAGGUAUCUGACUCGGCUUUUCGUUUCACCAACCGACGCCAGCGUCCACCGAGGUUCUUACGGAAGCCCUUCGCGAAUCCAGGCCUAUGCGACGGCAAGGCGUGUACAAGAGUAUCCUAUAAAGAAAGAAGAUCAAAUUGCGGCGAUUCUAAUCCUGCUGAUAUCGCAAAGGAACAAUUUUUUUCAAGAAGUGAAUGCCUCAACAGCUGCAGCCUAUUCGGUUCUCGGCGAUAUGUAGACGCCCACCGACGACGCUAAAUUUAGCGUCAGGUCGGAGAAGCGUCAAGAGCUGCGCCCGUUUUACCGGUGUAUUUAUAGACUCGGUAAAUUGUGUCAUGGCUUAAGUGUGAAAUGAAGAUAGGUUCUUUAGGGAAGAUUUUUAUAUUUUGUUACUUUUAUUUAAUAAUAUCAAGAGGAAAGAGUAAAUUAUAAAAAAAACAAAUGAUGUUUCAUUCGUCGUGAUGGAAUCGACUUUUCUACGUUAUAUUACGUUAGGCUAAAGUGAUAAAAGCCACUCUGCAGCCAAUCGACGAUCGCGGCUUGAACGGCGGGAAUAAUCGAUCGUCCACGAAGUAGCGUAAAACCGCGAUGGCCGCAGAUUGUAAAUAAGGACAUUAAAAUCGGAGCGUGCAUAAGGAAGAUCCGAAGACUCAUUAUCGCGUGACUUUCUCAAGAAAAUUGACCCUUGUAGAACUUUGGCCGCAACUGCGUUCACCGCUUUCUACGCUUACGAAUCUUUUUUGGAUAUCUCCGGUCGACAUCGCAUGUCCUCGAGUCAUUGGACAGCAGGGACAAACCAGUAAAAUCUGGUAAUACUGGCUCCACCGGUUAGUCGGUUAGCCAUUUGCGACGGUUAGAUCGGCGGAUAGAUCGCAAGAAAGAGUGACGGUUGCCUAUAUCUUUGUAUAUCAUCUAUUCCUGGAUUUAUGAUUAAUGAUCAGUUAAAAAACUAUACUGA
Camponotus floridanus (Florida carpenter ant) is the source of this 1015-nucleotide long non-coding RNA. RefSeq lists it as uncharacterized. NCBI's taxonomy places the organism in Eukaryota, Metazoa, Arthropoda, Insecta, Hymenoptera, Formicidae. The record is from RefSeq and is a predicted model, not a curated record. The transcript has 4 exons.